This 409-nucleotide ribosomal RNA is filed under the name uncultured bacterium. RNAcentral describes it as "bacterial SSU rRNA". It matches the Rfam family "Bacterial small subunit ribosomal RNA", at positions 30 to 436 of the family's 1533-position model. The record is from RNAcentral.
AUUGAACGCUGGCGGCGUGCUUAACACAUGCAAGUCGUGCGGUAACAGGCGUAGCAAUACGUGCUGACGAGCGGCGAACGGGUGCGUAAUACAUGGGAAUCUGCCCUUUAGUGGGGAAUAACCCGGCGAAAGCCGGGCUAAUGCCGCAUAAGAUCUUCGGAUGAAAGCGGGGGAGUCGUAAGACCUCGCGCUGAUGGAUGAGCCCACUGCCGGGUUAGCUAGNGGUUGAGGUAACGGCUCACCAAGGCGACGAUCCGUAGCUGGUCUGAGAGGACGGCCAGCCACACUGGGACUGAGACACGGCCCAGACUCCUACGGGAGGCAGCAGUGGGAAUAUUGGACAAUGGGGGAAACCCUGAUCCAGCGACGCCGCGUGUGUGAAGAAGGCCUGCGGGUUGUAAAGCACUUU